UGUGUGUGUGUCUGUGUGUGUGUGUGUGUGCGUGCGCGCGCGCGCACACACACACACACAUGCAGU
Molecule: non-coding RNA, 66 nt
Organism: Podarcis lilfordi (Lilford's wall lizard)
Lineage: Eukaryota; Metazoa; Chordata; Lepidosauria; Squamata; Lacertidae
Source: the annotation of a GenBank genome assembly